AGAGUUUGAUCCUGGCUCAGGAUGAACGCUGGCGGCGUGCCUAAUACAUGCAAGUCGAGCGAACUGAUUAGAAGCUUGCUUCUAUGACGUUAGCGGCGGACGGGUGAGUAACACGUGGGCAACCUGCCUGUAAGACUGGGAUAACUUCGGGAAACCGAAGCUAAUACCGGAUAGGAUCUUCUCCUUCAUGGGAGAUGAUUGAAAGAUGGUUUCGGCUAUCACUUACAGAUGGGCCCGCGGUGCAUUAGCUAGUUGGUGAGGUAACGGCUCACCAAGGCCAUGAUGCAUAGCCGACCUGAGAGGGUGAUCGGCCACACUGGGAUUGAGACACGGCCCAGACUCCUACGGGAGGCAGCAGUAGGGAAUCUUCCGCAAUGGACGAAAGUCUGACGGAGCAACGCCGCGUGAGUGAUGAAGGCUUUCGGGUCGUAAACUCUGUUGUUAGGGAAGAACAAGUACGAGAGUAACUGCUCGUACCUUGACGGUACCUAACCAGAAAGCCACGGCUAACUACGUGCCAGCAGCCGCGGUAAUACGUAGGUGGCAAGCGUUAUCCGGAAUUAUUGGGCGUAAAGCGCGCGCAGGCGGUUUCUUAAGUCUGAUGUGAAAGCCCACGGCUC
RNAcentral lists this ribosomal RNA (620 nucleotides) under uncultured marine bacterium. RNAcentral describes it as "bacterial SSU rRNA". It matches the Rfam family "Bacterial small subunit ribosomal RNA", at positions 8 to 610 of the family's 1533-position model. The record is from RNAcentral.